UGGUCCUGCUAGCUAAUUUACCUCCCUUAGAGAUGACACUGUGCUAACAGCAUUGUUGGUACACAACAGCUUUUCAUGAACAUGACACAUUCUUGAAAACUAUAUCAUGCCCCGGGGCCCUCUGCUUCAAAUAAACAUAAAAAAUCAUGCUUAGUGUGACAGAAAACAGUAUGGGAAGAAGAGAAAAGGCAUGCUACUCAUGAUUUAUUUCAUAACAAAAUUGAUAAGGUGAUGGAAAUGGCUAAGACAGACUGAACGAUGAGUUCGCUUCAAACAGACAGCAAAAAACUGUAGGUUCUGCAAAUCAUGUUUACAAAAAGUGUACUCCUAAGCAUCCAAUUUUUAAAAUGUCUCUGCAAAUAUUCCCUCAAGGAACCAGUAUCUUGUGAGCCCACACUUCUACUCACCAGACUAUUUAGCUGCUAAACCAGAAAAAAUGUUUUGACUAGUACCUCGUUCUGUUCUAUUAAACUUAAAACAUCUGCCAAAUCUGCAGACCUGCAUUUGUGGUACAUCAGUACUCCCUCUGUAAAUAUAAGAUAUUUUAGAUCACUACUAGUGAUCUAAAAGAUCUUUCCAGAUCACUACUAAAAGAUCUUUUUAGAUCACUACUAGUGAUCAUUUCUUAAAUGCAAAGUUCCUAGUCACUGCCCUAUUAAGCUGCUAAUCAAAAUUUACAACAUUUGACAACCAAGUAGUUUUCAUCAGUAAUGCACUGUGGAAGAACAAUCUUAAUUACUUCCUUGCGACUACCGGACUCUAUCCAAAUUAUCUGAACAGGGACCAAAUUUCUACAAAUGUACUAUAUCCCAAUUAUCACCUAAGAUUUUUACAUCUCUAUUAAUGUUAGUAUGUUGCGAACUAACCUCUUAGCCCACAAUGGACCUUGAGGGUUGACCUUACCUAUACACAGCCGCGACACCUGCGGCGAGUUGCCCCUUCUAUGCGUGCAAAACAGAAAAAGAUCACGAUAUACUUACGAAUCGACAUACCUCCUGAUUGAUUAGUUGCAUUAGGAACUUCAUCGUUGGCGGCCGCCUCUGCUUCCUAUCCCUCUUUCUCACUCCUCUGCUUCCAAAUGCCGUCCAUGCUGGGGCCUCUGGGGGAGAAGAGCCAGAGCUCUGCAUCCAAUUUGUGCCUGCAGCCAUUCGACGGAAAAGCGGAUUUCCUGAGCCACGGACCAAAUUGAUUUUCGUCUUCCGAUCCGCGGCUUAGCUUGCUGCAUUCCACCUGCAUUGUAGAUCAAGGUUUUCAGAUUUCCAUUUCAUAUUAAGCUACCAAACAACUACAUCAAUUCUAUCUCUUGAAACUCUCAUGCUUACCACUCGUUGACUCAUCAUUCUCGUUCCAGUCACCAGAGGAGUCUGAUUUCCCUCAUUAUCUUUCUUGCUUCUAGAGUUUUGGUCCAGUGGUCCUGCUAGCUAAUUUACCUCCCUUAGAGAUGACACUGUGCUAACAGCAUUGUUGGUACACAACAGCUUUUCAUGAACAUGACACAUUCUUGAAAACUAUAUCAUGCCCCGGGGCCCUCUGCUUCAAAUAAACAUAAAAAAUCAUGCUUAGUGUGACAGAAAACAGUAUGGGAAGAAGAGAAAAGGCAUGCUACUCAUGAUUUAUUUCAUAACAAAAUUGAUAAGGUGAUGGAAAUGGCUAAGACAGACUGAACGACGAGUUCGCUUCAAACAGACAGCAAAAAACUGUAGGUUCUGCAAAUCAUGUUUACAAAAAAUGUACUCCUAAGCAUCCAAUUUUUAAAAUGUCUCUGCAAAUAUUCCCUCAAGGAACCAGUAUCUUGUGAGCCCACACUUCUACUCACCAGACUAUUUAGCUGCUAAACCAGAAAAAAUGUUUUGACUAGUACCUCGUUCUGUUCUAUUAAACUUAAAGCAUCUGCCAAAUCUGCAGACCUGCAUUUGUGGUACAUCAGUACUCCCUCUGUAAAUAUAAGAUAUUUUAGAUCACUACUAGUGGUCUAAAAGAUCUUUCCAGAUCACUACUAAAAGAUCUUUUUAGAUCACUACUAGUGAUCAUUUCUUAAAUGCAAAGUUCCUAGUCACUGCCCUAUUAAGCUGCUAAUCAAAAUUUACAACAUUUGACAACCAAGUAGUUUUCAUCAGUAAUGCACUGUGGAAGAACAAUCUUAAUUACUUCCUUGCGACUACCGGACUCUAUCCAAAUUAUCUGAACAGGGACCAAAUUUCUACAAAUGUACUAUAUCCCAAUUAUCACCUAAGAUUUUUACAUCUCUAUUAAUGUUAGUAUGUUGCGAACUAACCUCUUAGCCCACAAUGGACCUUGAGGGUUGACCUUACCUAUACACAGCCGCGACACCUGCGGCGAGUUGCCCCUUCUGUGCGUGCAAAACAGAAAAAGAUCACGAUAUACUUACGAAUCGACAUACCUCCUGAUUGAUUAGUUGCAUUAGGAACUUCAUCGUUGGCGGCCGCCUCUGCUUCCUAUCCCUCUUUCUCACUCCUCUGCUUCCAAAUGCCGUCCAUGCUGGGGCCUUUGGGGGAGAAGAGCCAGAGCUCUGCAUCCAAUUUGUGCCUGCAGCCAUUCGACGGAAAAGCGGAUUUCCUGAGCCACGGACCAAAUUGAUUUUCGUCUUCCGAUCCGCGGCUUAGCUUGCUGCAUUCCACCUGCAUUGUAGAUCAAGGUUUUCAGAUUUCCAUUUCAUAUUAAGCUACCAAACAACUACAUCAAUUCUAUCUCUUGAAACUCUCAUGCUUACCACUCGUUGACUCAUCAUUCUCGUUCCAGUCACCAGAGGAGUCUGAUUUCCCUCAUUAUCUUUCUUGCUUCUAGAGUUUUGGUCCAGUGGUCCUGCUAGCUAAUUUACCUCCCUUAGAGAUGACACUGUGCUAACAGCAUUGUUGGUACACAACAGCUUUUCAUGAACAUGACACAUUCUUGAAAAUUAUAUCAUGCCCCGGGGCCCUCUGCUUCAAAUAAACAUAAAAAAUCAUGCUUAGUGUGACAGAAAACAGUAUGGGAAGAAGAGAAAAGGCAUGCUACUCAUGAUUUAUUUGAUAACAAAAUUGAUAAGGUGAUGGAAAUGGCUAAGACAGACUGAACGACGAGUUCGCUUCAAACAGACAGCAAAAAACUGUAGGUUCUGCAAAUCAUGUUUACAAAAAAUGUACUCCUAAGCAUCCAAUUUUUAAAAUGUCUCUGCAAAUAUUCCCUCAAGGAACCAGUAUCUUGUGAGCCCACACUUCUACUCACCAGACUAUUUAGCUGCUAAACCAGAAAAAAUGUUUUGACUAGUACCUCGUUCUGUUCUAUUAAACUUAAAACAUCUGCCAAAUCUGCAGACCUGCAUUUGUGGUACAUCAGUACUCCCUCUGUAAAUAUAAGAUCUUUUAGAUCACUACUAGUGAUCUAAAAGAUCUUUCCAGAUCACUACUAAAAGAUCUUUUUAGAUCACUACUAGUGAUCAUUUCUUAAAUGCAAAGUUCCUAGUCACUGCCCUAUUAAGUUGAUAAUCAAAAUUUACAACAUUUGACAACCAAGUAGUUUUCAUCAGUAAUGCACUGUGGAAGAACAAUCUUAAUUACUUCCUUGCGACUACCGGACUCUAUCCAAAUUAUCUGAACAGGGACCAAAUUUCUACAAAUGUACUAUAUCCCAAUUAUCACCUAAGAUUUUUACAUCUCUAUUAAUGUUAGUAUGUUGCGAACUAACCUCUUAGCCCACAAUGGACCUUGAGGGUUGACCUUACCUAUACACAGCCGCGACACCUGCGGCGAGUUGCCCCUUCUGUGCAUGCAAAACAGAAAAAGAUCACGAUAUACUUACGAAUCGACAUACCUCCUGAUUGAUUAGUUGCAUUAGGAACUUCAUCGUUGGCGGCCGCCUCUGUUUCCUAUCCCUCUUUCUCACUCCUCUGCUUCCAAAUGCGUCCAUGCUGGGGCCUUUGGGGGAGAAGAGCCAGAGCUCUGCAUCCAAUUUGUGCCUGCAGCCAUUCAACGGAAAAGCGGAUUUCCUGAGCCACGGACCAAAUUGAUUUUCGUUUUCCGAUCCGCGGCUUAGCUUGCUGCAUUCCACC
This 4048-nucleotide long non-coding RNA is filed under the name Triticum aestivum (bread wheat). RNAcentral's name for it is "long non-coding RNA (TAES_LNC015836)". Lineage: Eukaryota; Viridiplantae; Streptophyta; Magnoliopsida; Poales; Poaceae. The record is from RNAcentral.